This 940-nucleotide ribosomal RNA is filed under the name Streptococcus agalactiae. RNAcentral describes it as "bacterial SSU rRNA". It matches the Rfam family "Bacterial small subunit ribosomal RNA", at positions 38 to 964 of the family's 1533-position model. The record is from RNAcentral. Lineage: Bacteria; Bacillati; Bacillota; Bacilli; Lactobacillales; Streptococcaceae.
GGCAGGGGGCUAACUGCAGUAGACGCUGAGGUUUGGUGUUUACACUAGACUGAUGAGUUGCGAACGGGUGAGUAACGCGUAGGUAACCUGCCUCAUAGCGGGGGAUAACUAUUGGAAACGAUAGCUAAUACCGCAUAAGAGUAAUUAACACAUGUUAGUUAUUUAAAAGGAGCAAUUGCUUCACUGUGAGAUGGACCUGCGUUGUAUUAGCUAGUUGGUGAGGUAAAGGCUCACCAAGGCGACGAUACAAAGCCGACCUGAGAGGGUGAUCGGCCACACUGGGACUGAGACACGGCCCAGACUCCUACGGGAGGCACCAGUAGGGAAUCUUCGGCAAUGGACGGAAGUCUGACCGAGCAACACCGCGUGAGUGAAGAAGGUUUUCGGAUCGUAAAGCUCUGUUGUUAGAGAAGAACGUUGGUAGGAGUGGAAAAUCUACCAAGUGACAGUAACUAACCAAAAAGGGACGGCUAACUACGUGCCAACCGCCGCGGUAAUACGUAGGUCCCGAGCGUUGUCCGGAUUUAUUGGGCGUAAAGCGAGCGCACGCGGUUCUUUAAGUCUGAAGUUAAAGGCAGAGGCUUAACCAUUGUACGCUUUGGAAACUGGAGGACUUGAGUGCAGAAGGGGAGAGUGGAAUUCCAUGUGUAACGGUGAAAUGCGUAGAUAUAUGGAGGAACACCGGUGGCGAAAGCGGCUCUCUGGUCUGUAACUGACACUGAGGCUCGAAAGCGUGGGGAGCAAACAGGAUUAGAUACCCUGGUAGUCCACGCCGUAAACGAUGAGGGCUAGGUGUUAGGCCCUUUCCCGGGCUUAAUGCCUCAGCUAACGCAUUAAAAACUCCGCCCUGGGGAGUACAACCCCCAGGGUGAAACUCAAAGGAAAUGGACGGGGGCCCCCCCAACCGGNGGACCAUGUGGGUUAAUUUCCAUCAUUCGGA